UUCUGAAGCAAUCUACAACAAUUUUGUCCUCAGGGUGAUGGCAGCCAGGAGUCCCAAUGUAAGGCUUCGAAAAGCACUCGACAGAAAUGCUUCGAGAACACCUACAAAAUGCCCACUUUCAGCUCCUCCGAAAUCUUCCAAGCCGAGACUAUCAAGGAUGGCUGUCAUUUCAUCGAUGUCCAAGAAGAUGGA
This is a long non-coding RNA of Salvia splendens (bonfire salvia), 192 nucleotides long. RefSeq lists it as uncharacterized. Lineage: Eukaryota; Viridiplantae; Streptophyta; Magnoliopsida; Lamiales; Lamiaceae. The transcript is spliced from 3 exons. The record is from RefSeq and is a predicted model, not a curated record.